RNAcentral lists this ribosomal RNA (1201 nucleotides) under uncultured eukaryote. RNAcentral describes it as "partial small subunit ribosomal RNA". It matches the Rfam family "Eukaryotic small subunit ribosomal RNA", at positions 570 to 1574 of the family's 1831-position model. The record is from RNAcentral.
GCACCCGCGGUAAUUCCAGCACCAAUAGCGUAUAUUAAUGCUGCUGCAGUUAAAAAGCUCGUACUUGGAUCAAGAGUCGGACAGUGCAAGGUGGCCCUGUCUGUCCAGUUUGGUUCCGAUCAAGCUGGCGGCAGCGGGUAAACCCCUUGCGCCAAACUGUCCGCUCUCAACAGACCGAAACGGUUCCCUGUGAGUAGGCCCCUUCAUUGGGGUCGAAAGCGCCUACGCAUCAACCAUAUGCAUACGGGACGUCGGUCAAAGUUACUGUGAACAAACCAGCGUGUCCAAAGCAGGCCUUCGCCUGAAUGUUCGAGCAUGGAAUAACAAGGGAUCGAUUCUCUCGGUUCUUUUUGUUGGUUUUUAACCCGAGAAGGAGUAAUUCAGGCCACGGUGUCUGAGUUGGGUUUCCCGAGGCUUCGGCUGAGGCCCCAAUUAGGCCGUGUCCUUACGGGAUCAAUAGGGACUGACGGGGUCGUACGUACUUCCGCGUCAGAGGUGAAAUUCUUAGAUCGCGGGAAGACGAACUUCUGCGAAAGCAUUCGACAAGAAUGUCUUCAUUAAUCAAGAACGAGAGUGUGGGGAUCGAAGAUGAUCAGAUACCGUCGUAGUCCACUACUGUAAACAAUGCCGUCUCAGGAUUGAGAAGUGAACUGAAUGACUUUCACAGCACUAACCCCUGAAACGAGAAAUCAAAGAUUAUGGGUUCAGGGGGGAGUACAUUCGCAAGGCUGAAACUUAAAGGAAUUGACGGAAUGACACCACAAGGCGUGGAGUAUGCGGCUUAAUUUGACCCAACACGGGGAAUUUUACUAGGUCAGGACAAUGUAAGGAUUGACAGAUUGAGAGCUUUUUCUUGAUUAAUUGUGUGGUGGUGCAUGGCCGCUCCUGGUUGGUGGAGUGAUUUGUCUGGUUGAUUCCGUUAACGAACGAGAUCUCGACCCUUAAAUAGGUGUACUUGUAGAUCGUAGUUUCACUCCUGCUCGCUUGCGAGACUAGGAUGGGACGAGACUGCGGGAAUACUUCUUAAGGGGACUGUAUGCGUCCAUAGCGUGCGGAAGAGCGAGCCAAUAGCAGGUCUGUGAUGCUCCUAAAUGUCCUAGGCUGCACGCGCACUACACUGACGCAUUCAACGAGUCUGAUUGUCUUUUGACAACCUAUCUUGAAGAGGACGGGAAAUCUUUUGAACUUGCAUCGUGAUGAG